RNAcentral lists this ribosomal RNA (1628 nucleotides) under Salmonella enterica subsp. enterica serovar Senftenberg. Its description in RNAcentral is "partial 23S ribosomal RNA". It matches the Rfam family "Bacterial large subunit ribosomal RNA", at positions 1190 to 2802 of the family's 2925-position model. Lineage: Bacteria; Pseudomonadati; Pseudomonadota; Gammaproteobacteria; Enterobacterales; Enterobacteriaceae. The record is from RNAcentral. RNAcentral also lists the same sequence under 1 other name.
UGCACCGAAGCUGCGGCAGCGACACUGUGUGUUGUUGGGUAGGGGAGCGUUCUGUAAGCCUGUGAAGGUGGCCUGUGAGGGUUGCUGGAGGUAUCAGAAGUGCGAAUGCUGACAUAAGUAACGAUAAAGCGGGUGAAAAGCCCGCUCGCCGGAAGACCAAGGGUUCCUGUCCAACGUUAAUCGGGGCAGGGUGAGUCGACCCCUAAGGCGAGGCCGAAAGGCGUAGUCGAUGGGAAACGGGUUAAUAUUCCCGUACUUGGUGUUACUGCGAAGGGGGGACGGAGAAGGCUAUGUUGGCCGGGCGACGGUUGUCCCGGUUUAAGCGUGUAGGCUGGUUUUCCAGGCAAAUCCGGAAAAUCAAGGCUGAGGCGUGACGACGAGGCACUACGGUGCUGAAGCAACAAAUGCCCUGCUUCCAGGAAAAGCCUCUAAGCAUCAGGUAACACGAAAUCGUACCCCAAACCGACACAGGUGGUCAGGUAGAGAAUACCAAGGCGCUUGAGAGAACUCGGGUGAAGGAACUAGGCAAAAUGGUGCCGUAACUUCGGGAGAAGGCACGCUGACACGUAGGUGAAGUGAUUUACUCAUGGAGCUGAAGUCAGUCGAAGAUACCAGCUGGCUGCAACUGUUUAUUAAAAACACAGCACUGUGCAAACACGAAAGUGGACGUAUACGGUGUGACGCCUGCCCGGUGCCGGAAGGUUAAUUGAUGGGGUCAGCGCAAGCGAAGCUCCUGAUCGAAGCCCCGGUAAACGGCGGCCGUAACUAUAACGGUCCUAAGGUAGCGAAAUUCCUUGUCGGGUAAGUUCCGACCUGCACGAAUGGCGUAAUGAUGGCCAGGCUGUCUCCACCCGAGACUCAGUGAAAUUGAACUCGCUGUGAAGAUGCAGUGUACCCGCGGCAAGACGGAAAGACCCCGUGAACCUUUACUAUAGCUUGACACUGAACAUUGAGCCUUGAUGUGUAGGAUAGGUGGGAGGCUUUGAAGUGUGGACGCCAGUCUGCAUGGAGCCGACCUUGAAAUACCACCCUUUAAUGUUUGAUGUUCUAACGUGGACCCGUAAUCCGGGUUGCGGACAGUGUCUGGUGGGUAGUUUGACUGGGGCGGUCUCCUCCUAAAGAGUAACGGAGGAGCACGAAGGUUGGCUAAUCCUGGUCGGACAUCAGGAGGUUAGUGCAAUGGCAUAAGCCAGCUUGACUGCGAGCGUGACGGCGCGAGCAGGUGCGAAAGCAGGUCAUAGUGAUCCGGUGGUUCUGAAUGGAAGGGCCAUCGCUCAACGGAUAAAAGGUACUCCGGGGAUAACAGGCUGAUACCGCCCAAGAGUUCAUAUCGACGGCGGUGUUUGGCACCUCGAUGUCGGCUCAUCACAUCCUGGGGCUGAAGUAGGUCCCAAGGGUAUGGCUGUUCGCCAUUUAAAGUGGUACGCGAGCUGGGUUUAGAACGUCGUGAGACAGUUCGGUCCCUAUCUGCCGUGGGCGCUGGAGAACUGAGGGGGGCUGCUCCUAGUACGAGAGGACCGGAGUGGACGCAUCACUGGUGUUCGGGUUGUCAUGCCAAUGGCACUGCCCGGUAGCUAAAUGCGGAAGAGAUAAGUGCUGAAAGCAUCUAAGCACGAAACUUGCCCCGA